Molecule: non-coding RNA, 96 nt
Organism: Marasmius sp. AFHP31
Lineage: Eukaryota; Fungi; Basidiomycota; Agaricomycetes; Agaricales; Marasmiaceae
Source: the annotation of a GenBank genome assembly
UCCCUGGUAGUAUAUCGGUUAGUACACGCGCCUGUCAUACUAUAUCUUCUAUGUUUCCCAUCGCGCGAAAGCUGGGUUCGACUCCCAGCCAGGGAG